CAGUGUUGCCGUCAACCGUGUGGCGACCUACAAGGAGUUGGACAGUGACCUUUUGAGACACGCAGCCUUCUCGACCCUAGACGACAUUGACCUUCGGCUCCUGACCUCCUGCCUGGCCCCAGAGAGCGAGCCUGACGUACAUUGGAGGUGGGACGCCCUAUUUACAGAGGUGUCGUCGGAGCUGCGGACAGAAUGGGAGCCAGAGGGUGACGGCCAGACUGAAGACACUCCCAUCCAAGCAUAGCCUCCUGUUGUGGCUGUAGUUCCCA
Long non-coding RNA from Scylla paramamosain (green mud crab), 269 nucleotides. RefSeq lists it as uncharacterized. Lineage: Eukaryota; Metazoa; Arthropoda; Malacostraca; Decapoda; Portunidae. The transcript has 3 exons. The record is from RefSeq and is a predicted model, not a curated record.